Molecule: ribosomal RNA, 460 nt
Filed under: uncultured bacterium
Lineage: Bacteria
Description: partial 16S ribosomal RNA
Rfam family: Bacterial small subunit ribosomal RNA
Source: RNAcentral
CCUACGGGUGGCAGCAGUGAGGAAUAUUGGUCAAUGGACGAGAGUCUGAACCAGCCAAGUAGCGUGAAGGAUGACUGCCCUAUGGGUUGUAAACUUCUUUUAUAUGGGAAUAAAAUGUUCCACGUGUGGGAUUUUGUAUGUACCAUAUGAAUAAGGAUCGGCUAACUCCGUGCCAGCAGCCGCGGUAAUACGGAGGAUCCGAGCGUUAUCCGGAUUUAUUGGGUUUAGAGGGAGCGUAGGUGGAUUGUUAAGUCAGUUGGGAAAGUUUGCGGCUCAACCUGAAAAUUGCAGUUGAAACUGGCAGUCUUGAGUACAGUAGAGGUGGGCGGAAUUCGUGGUGUAGCGGUGAAAUGCUUAGAUAUCACGAAGAACUCCGAUUGCGAAGGCAGCUCACUGGACUGCAACUGACACUGAGGCUCGAAAGUGUGGGUAUCAAACAGGAUUAGAUACCCCGGUAGUC